Long non-coding RNA from Mytilus californianus (California mussel), 2461 nucleotides. RefSeq lists it as uncharacterized. The transcript has 2 exons. NCBI's taxonomy places the organism in Eukaryota, Metazoa, Mollusca, Bivalvia, Mytilida, Mytilidae. The record is from RefSeq and is a predicted model, not a curated record.
UUUUAUACGACCGCAAAAAUUAAAAAUUUUUUGGUCGUAUAUUGGUAUGACGUUGGCGUCGUCCGGCGUCGUCCGGCGUCGUCCGAAGACACAUUGGUUUUCGCACUCUAACUUUAGUUUAAGUGAAUGGAUCUCCAUGAAAUUUCACCAUAAGGUUCAAUACCACAAAAGGAAGGUUGGGAUUGAUUUUGGGGGUUAUGGUACCAACAGUUAAGGAAUUAGGGGCCAAAAAGGGGCCAAAAAUAAGCAUUUUUGUAACUUUCAGACAAUAACUUGUGUGUAAGUGUAUGGAUCUCUCUGACAUUGUACCACAAGGUUCCAUAUCACAAAGGGAAGGCUUUAAUUAAUUUUGGGGGUAAUUGCCUCAAAAUUUUAGGAAUUAGGGGCCAAAAAAGGGGCAAAAAACAAGCAUUUUUCUAGUUUCAUGACAAUAACUUGUGUGUAAGUGUUUGGAUAUUUCUGAAAUUGUACUACAAGGUUCCAUAUCACAAAGGGAAAGCUGGAAUUGAGUUUGGGGGUAAUUGCCCGAAACGUUUAGGAAUUGGGGGCCAAAAAGGGGCCAAAAAUAAGCAUUUUUCUAGUUUCCAGACAAUAACUUGUGUUCAAGUAUAUGGAUCUCUCUGAAAUUGUACUGCAAGGUACCAUACCACAAAGGGAAGGCUGGGAUUGAGUUUGGGGGUGAUGAAUCAUAAGGGGGUUCAAAAAAUUUGGGGGGGGGAUUUUUUUUUUUUUUUUUUUUUCUUUUUUUCCUUUUUUUUUUCUUUUAAAAUUUUCCAUUUUAAGUUGGUUAUUUCUGAUUUAUAUUUAAAAGCAAAUAAUAAUGAUAUGGUAGGAGAUACACACCAAACAGGAUGUGUAAAUUAUUAUAUAAUAAGUAUUGUGCAAUAGCAAGAAAUUUUCAAUUGCACAGUAUUGCACAAUAGCAAGAAAUCUUCAAUUGCACAGUAUUGCGCAAUAGCAAGAAAUCUUCAAUUUAACAGUAUUGCGCAAUAGCAAGAAAUAUCAAAUAGCACAAUAUUGCGCAAUAGCAAGAAAUUGUCAAUUGUACAGUAUUGCGCAAUAGCAAGAAAUAUUCAAUUGCACAGUAUUGUGCAAAAGAAGAUACUUCGUAUAAAUUGCUUAUUUCUUGAUCAAUUUCAAUGGGGUUUUAUUCUUGAGUUCUUGGGGUUCUUUAAUAUGCUGAAUCUAACCGUGUAUUAAGUUUUUGGAUUUUGGGCCCUGUUUUUAAAUUGGUCCACAUUGAGGUCCAAAGGGUCCAAAAUUAAACUUUGUUUGAUUUCAUCAAAAAUUGAAUUAUUGGGGUUCUUUGAUAUGCCGAAUCUAACCGUGUAUUUAGAUUUUUAAUUUUGGGUCCCGUUUUUUAAAUUUGUCUACAUUAAGGUCCAAAGGGUCCAAAAUUAAACUUAGUUUGAUUUUAACAAAAAUUGAAUUCUUAGGGUUCUUUGAUAUGCUGAAUCUAAACAUGUGUUUAGAUUUUUGAUUAUGGGCCCAGUUUUCAAGUUGGUCCAAGUUGGGGUCCAAAAUUAAACUUUGUUUGAUUUCAACAAAAAUUGAAUAUAUGGGGUUCUUUGAUAUGCUGAAUCUAAACAUGUAUUUAGAUUUUAGAUUUUUGGCCCAGUUUUCAAGUUGGUCCAAAUUGGGGUCCAAAAUUAAACUUUGUUUGAUUUCAACAAAAAUUGAAUAUAUGGGGUUCUUUGAUAUGCUGAAUCUAAACAUGUAUUUAGAUUUUAGAUUUUUGGCCCAGUUUUCAAGUUGGUCCAAAUUGGGGUCCAAAAUUAAACUUUGUUUGAUUUCAACAAAAAUUGAAUAUAUGGGGUUCUUUGAUAUGCUGAAUCUUACCAUGUAUUUAGAUUUUUUAUUUGUGGGCCCGCUAUCAAAUUGGUUCAUAUUGAGGUCAAAAGGGUCCAAAAUUAAACUUUGUUUGAUUUCAUCAAAAAUUGAAUUAUUGGGGUUCUUUGAUAUGCCAAAUCUAACCGUGUAUUUAGAUUUUUAAUUUUGGGUCCUGUUUUUUAAAUUGGUCUACAUUAAGGUCCAAAGGGUCCAAAAUUAAACUUAGUUUGAUUUUAACAAAAAUUGAAUUUUUGGGGUUCUUUGAUAUGCUGAAUCUAAACAUGUGUUUAGAUUUUUGAUUAUGGGACCAGUUUUCAAGUUUGUCCAAGUUGGGGUCCAAAAUUAAACUUUGUUUGAUUUCAACAAAAAUUGAAUAUAUGGGGUUCUUUGAUAUGCUGAAUCUAACCAUGUAUUUUGAUUUUGGACAUUGGACCAUAAUAGGUAAAUUAAAAAAAUUGAAGUUCUUAGACCACAUUCUUUCUGUGUCAGAAACCUAUGCUGUGUCAAAUAUUUAAUCACAAUCCAAAUUCAGAGCUGUAUCAAGCUUGAAUGUUGUGUCCAUACUUGCCCCAACUGUUCAGGGUUCGACCUCUGCGGUCGUAUCAAGCUGCGCCCAGCGAAGCAUUUUAUU